RNAcentral lists this ribosomal RNA (912 nucleotides) under Exserohilum mcginnisii. RNAcentral describes it as "LSU rRNA". It matches the Rfam family "Eukaryotic large subunit ribosomal RNA", at positions 35 to 964 of the family's 3401-position model. Lineage: Eukaryota; Fungi; Ascomycota; Dothideomycetes; Pleosporales; Pleosporaceae. The record is from RNAcentral.
UAAGCAUAUCAAUAAGCGGAGGAAAAGAAACCCAACAGGGAUUGCCCUAGUAACGGCGAGUGAAGCGGCAACAGCUCAAAUUUGAAAUCUGGCUCUUUCAGAGUCCGAGUUGUAAUUUGCAGAGGGCGCUUUGGCUUUGGCAGCGGUCCAAGUUCCUUGGAACAGGACGUCACAGAGGGUGAGAAUCCCGUACGUGGUCGCUAGCUAUUGCCGUGUAAAGCCCCUUCGACGAGUCGAGUUGUUUGGGAAUGCAGCUCUAAAUGGGAGGUAAAUUUCUUCUAAAGCUAAAUAUUGGCCAGAGACCGAUAGCGCACAAGUAGAGUGAUCGAAAGAUGAAAAGCACUUUGGAAAGAGAGUCAAACAGCACGUGAAAUUGUUGAAAGGGAAGCGCUUGCAGCCAGACUUGCUUGCAGUUGCUCAUCCGGGCUUUUGCCCGGUGCACUCUUCUGCAGGCAGGCCAGCAUCAGUUUGGGCGGUGGGAUAAAGGUCUCUGUCAUGUACCUCUCUUCGGGGAGGCCUUAUAGGGGAGGCGACAUACCACCAGCCUAGACUGAGGUCCGCGCAUCUGCUAGGAUGCUGGCGUAAUGGCUGUAAGCGGCCCGUCUUGAAACACGGACCAAGGAGUCUAACAUCUAUGCGAGUGUUUGGGUGUCAAGCCCGAGCGCGUAAUGAAAGUGAACGGAGGUGGGAACCCGCAAGGGUGCACCAUCGACCGAUCCUGAAGUUUACGGAAGGAUUUGAGUAAGAGCAUGGCUGUUGGGACCCGAAAGAUGGUGAACUAUGCUUGAAUAGGGUGAAGCCAGAGGAAACUCUGGUGGAGGCUCGCAGCGGUUCUGACGUGCAAAUCGAUCGUCAAAUUUGGGCAUAGGGGCGAAAGACUAAUCGAACUAUCUAGUAGCUGGUUCCUGCCGA